UAAAACGUAGGACGCGAGCGUUAUCCGGAUUUACUGGGCGUAAAGCGCGUGCAGGCGGCCUGUUAAGUCGUGCGUGAAAGCUCCCUGGCUCAACCGGGAGAGGCCGUACGAAACUAGCAGGCUAGAGGGCAGCAGAGGAGUGUGGAAUUCCGGGUGUAGUGGUGAAAUGCGUAGAUAUCCGGAGGAACACCAGUGGCGAAGGCGGCACUCUGGGCUGUACCUGACGCUAAGACGCGAAAGCGUGGGUAGCGAACGGGAUUAGAAACCCCGGUAGUCCACGCCGUAAACGAUGUGCACUAGGCGUAUGUUCUACGGAAUGUGUGCCGAAGCUAACGCGAUAAGUGCACCGCCUGGGGACUACGGCCGCAAGGCUA
RNAcentral lists this ribosomal RNA (374 nucleotides) under uncultured bacterium. RNAcentral describes it as "bacterial SSU rRNA". It matches the Rfam family "Bacterial small subunit ribosomal RNA", at positions 521 to 896 of the family's 1533-position model. The record is from RNAcentral.